GAUGAACGCUAGCUACAGGCUUAACACAUGCAAGUCGAGGGGGAAACGACAUUGAAGCUUGCUUCGAUGGUCGUCGACCGGCGCACGGGUGAGUAACGCGUAUCCAACCUGCCUCUGACCAAGGGAUAACCCGUCGAAAGUCGGCCUAAUACCUUAUGCAGUCGUCGGAAGUCAUCUGAUGACGACGAAAGAUUUCAUCGGUGAGAGAUGGGGAUGCGUCUGAUUAGCUUGUUGGCGGGGUAACGGCCCACCAAGGCAACGAUCAGUAGGGGUUCUGAGAGGAAGGUCCCCCACAUUGGAACUGAGACACGGUCCAAACUCCUACGGGAGGCAGCAGUGAGGAAUAUUGGUCAAUGGGCGAGAGCCUGAACCAGCCAAGUAGCGUGCAGGAUGACGGCCCUAUGGGUUGUAAACUGCUUUUAUGCGGGGAUAAAGUGAGGGACGUGUCCUUCAUUGCAGGUACCGCAUGAAUAAGGACCGGCUAAUUCCGUG
This 492-nucleotide ribosomal RNA is filed under the name uncultured bacterium. RNAcentral's name for it is "partial 16S ribosomal RNA". It matches the Rfam family "Bacterial small subunit ribosomal RNA", at positions 28 to 507 of the family's 1533-position model. The record is from RNAcentral.